RNAcentral lists this ribosomal RNA (251 nucleotides) under uncultured bacterium. RNAcentral's name for it is "partial 16S ribosomal RNA". It matches the Rfam family "Bacterial small subunit ribosomal RNA", at positions 524 to 774 of the family's 1533-position model. The record is from RNAcentral.
UACGUAUGGAGCAAGCGUUAUCCGGAUUUACUGGGUGUAAAGGGAGCGUAGACGGCAUGGCAAGUCUGAUGUGAAAGCCCGGGGCUCAACCCCGGAACUGCGUUGGAAACUGUCGUGCUGGAGUGCAGGAGAGGUAAGCGGAAUUCCUAGUGUAGCGGUGAAAUGCGUAGAUAUUAGGAGGAACACCAGUGGCGAAGGCGGCUUACUGGACUGUAACUGACGUUGAGGCUCGAAAGCGUGGGGAGCAAACA